GUAACCCUGCAGUGUGCGGGAGUUGAGUGAGAUAUUGGGCCAACACCAAUAUAAAGGGAGCCCGGUCUCUGGCUGUGCAAACAUAGGCCUCCUUAGAGUGGAAAUGUGCGGCAGUCAGGAGGGCACCCACCUGUGAGAGAGCAGGUUCAACAACCACUCAAUGAGCGGCACUGUGGGGAGCUU
RNAcentral lists this non-coding RNA (183 nucleotides) under Calorimonas adulescens. RNAcentral's name for it is "6S / SsrS RNA". It matches the Rfam family "6S / SsrS RNA". Rfam says of the family: E. coli 6S RNA was the first non coding RNA to be sequenced, but its function was unknown until recently. It consists of 184 nucleotides that fold into an extended hairpin structure with a large single-stranded internal bulge. Lineage: Bacteria; Bacillati; Bacillota; Clostridia; Thermoanaerobacterales; Thermoanaerobacteraceae. The record is from Rfam by way of RNAcentral.